GACAGAGGCCUCGAGCGUUAGGCGGAAUCACUGGGCUUAAAGCGUGUGUAGGCGGGCCCGUAAGUGUCUUGUGAAAUCCCACGGCUCAACCGUGGAACUGCUGGGCAUACUGCGGGUCUUGGGCCAACUAGGGGCAGCCGGAACAAGCGGUGGAGCGGUGAAAUGCAUUGAGAUCGGAAAGAACACCAACGGCGAAAGCACUCUGCUGGGCCGACACUGACACUGAGAGACGAAAGCUAGGGGAGCAAAUGGG
This 253-nucleotide ribosomal RNA is filed under the name uncultured bacterium. RNAcentral describes it as "partial 16S ribosomal RNA". It matches the Rfam family "Bacterial small subunit ribosomal RNA", at positions 524 to 776 of the family's 1533-position model. The record is from RNAcentral.